CCCCUUGACGACGACAAUCUGAUCGGGUACAUCAUGGCUGGCCUAGACGAGGAAUACAAUCCUCUUGUCUCUGUCGCGAUGCUGCAUGAUGGCUCCAUGACCAUGUCGGAGUUCUACACCCAUUUUCUCACCACUGAGA
This is a small nucleolar RNA of Phragmites australis (common reed), 139 nucleotides long. RefSeq annotates it as small nucleolar RNA Z247. Lineage: Eukaryota; Viridiplantae; Streptophyta; Magnoliopsida; Poales; Poaceae. The record is from RefSeq and is a predicted model, not a curated record. The transcript has a single exon.